This is a long non-coding RNA of Rhopalosiphum padi (bird cherry-oat aphid), 503 nucleotides long. RefSeq lists it as uncharacterized. The record is from RefSeq and is a predicted model, not a curated record. The transcript has 2 exons. Lineage: Eukaryota; Metazoa; Arthropoda; Insecta; Hemiptera; Aphididae.
UCACAUGUGUGCCGUUUAAAUGUCAUGUUGACGCACCAUGCACACAAGUUGCUGCAGACGUUGCGGCGUUGGUAGAUAUGAGAUACGCUUUCGUCACUGUAAAUAGUGCGCGGGAUGACGGGGUCGAGCUCAUUAAUUACCGAGUUUAAGUGGAAUAAUAAUUCCGCCUGUGUUACGCUGAGUCUAGAAACUUACCACCACCAAGUGUAGUAACAUUAUAUAUGAGACAUAAUGGGUACACGAAUAUUGAAAGACAAAACCAUUUCGUGAUGUAUAAAUUUAGUAUAACAGCAGCGCAUGCCACACUUCGGGUUCGGUUAAGGAAAGUGCCUGGAUGGUUCAAAUGCACAAUAAUACAAGUGAUUAUAAUAAUAAAUUGAAAAAUGUCCGCAUAUCCUAAACAAUUAUAUUUUAUAUGUGCUUGGUUUGGUAAAAAAUAUUGUCAAUGUUGUUAAUAUAAUCACUUAUGUAUUGCAAAAAAAAUAAAUUGAAUUACACGAUAA